This 253-nucleotide ribosomal RNA is filed under the name uncultured bacterium. Its description in RNAcentral is "partial 16S ribosomal RNA". It matches the Rfam family "Bacterial small subunit ribosomal RNA", at positions 524 to 776 of the family's 1533-position model. The record is from RNAcentral.
GACGAAGGAUGCAAGCGUUAUCCGGAUUCAUUGGGUUUAAAGGGCGCGUAGGUGGUCUGCUAAGUCAGUGGUGAAAUCUCUCGGCUCAACCGAGAAAUUGCCAUUGAAACUGGCGGACUUGAGUACAGUUGCCGUUGGCGGAAUAUGACAUGUAGUGGUGAAAUACAUAGAGAUGUCAUAGAACACCGAUUGCGAAGGCAGCUAACGAAGCUGUUACUGACACUGAGGCUCGAAAGUGCGGGGAUCAAACAGG